GCCCUCGUAGCAUAAUGGAUAGUGCAGGACUCUUCUAAGGUUCUGAUGUUGGUUCGAUUCCAACCGAGGGCA
RNAcentral lists this transfer RNA (72 nucleotides) under Candidatus Uhrbacteria bacterium. Its description in RNAcentral is "tRNA-Arg". It matches the Rfam family "tRNA". Rfam says of the family: Transfer RNA (tRNA) molecules are approximately 80 nucleotides in length. Lineage: Bacteria; Candidatus Uhriibacteriota. The record is from RNAcentral.